This 459-nucleotide ribosomal RNA is filed under the name uncultured bacterium. RNAcentral's name for it is "partial 16S ribosomal RNA". It matches the Rfam family "Bacterial small subunit ribosomal RNA", at positions 338 to 795 of the family's 1533-position model. The record is from RNAcentral.
CCUACGGGAGGCAGCAGUGAGGAAUAUUGGUCAAUGGCCGGAAGGCUGAACCAGCCAAGCCGCGUGAAGGACGAAGGUGCCAAGCAUUGUAAACUUCUUUUGUCAGGGGACAAAAUCAGGCGCGAGAGCCUGACCGAGGGUACUUGAAGAAAAAGCAUCGGCUAACUCCGUUCCAGCAGCCGCGGUAAUACGGAGGAUGCGAGCGUUAUCCGGAUUGAUUGGGUUUAAAGGGUGCAUAGGCGGGCUGUUAAGUCAGCGGUAAAAGCCCGGGGCUCAACCCCGGCGAGCCGUUGAAACUGGCUGUCUUGAGAUGUCGAGAGGUAUGCGGAAUGCGCAGUGUAGCGGUGAAAUGCUUAGAUAUUGCGCAGAACUCCGAUUGCGAAGGCAGCAUACCGGCGGCGAUCUGACGCUGAGGCACGAAAGCGUGGGUAUCGAACAGGAUUAGAUACCCGUGUAGUC